RNAcentral lists this ribosomal RNA (440 nucleotides) under uncultured bacterium. Its description in RNAcentral is "partial 16S ribosomal RNA". It matches the Rfam family "Bacterial small subunit ribosomal RNA", at positions 338 to 795 of the family's 1533-position model. The record is from RNAcentral.
CCUACGGGAGGCAGCAGUAGGGAAUAUUGCUCAAUGGGGGAAACCCUGAAGCAGCAACGCCGCGUGGAGGAUGAAGGUUCUCGGAUUGUAAACUCCUUUUGUUAGAGAAGAUAAUGACGGUAUCUAACGAAUAAGCACCGGCUAACUCCGUGCCAGCAGCCGCGGUAAUACGGGAGGUGCAAGCGUUACUCGGAAUCACUGGGGGUAAAGAGCGAGUAGGCGGGAUAGCAAGUGAGAUGUGAAAUCCUAUGGCUUAACCAUAGAACUGCAUUUGAAACUGUUAUUCUAGAGUAUGGGAGAGGUAGGUGGAAUUCUUGGUGUAGGGGUAAAAUCCGUAGAGAUCAAGAGGAAUACUCAUUGCGAAGGCGACCUGCUAGAACAUAACUGACGCUGAUGCGCGAAAGCGUGGGGAGCGAACAGGAUUAGAUACCCUUGUAGUC